This 403-nucleotide ribosomal RNA is filed under the name uncultured bacterium. RNAcentral describes it as "partial 16S ribosomal RNA". It matches the Rfam family "Bacterial small subunit ribosomal RNA", at positions 29 to 526 of the family's 1533-position model. The record is from RNAcentral.
AUUGAACGCUGGCGGCAGGCCUAACCCCUGCAAGUCGAGCGCGCGGCGGACGGGUGAGUAAUGUCUGGGGACUGCCCGAUCGCGGGGGAUAACUACUGGAAACGGUAGCUAAUACCGCAUACUAUCGGAUCACCCAUAUGGGAUUAGCUAGUAGGUGAGGUAAUGGCUCACCUAGGGGACGAUCCCUAGCUGGUCUGAGGGGAUGAGCAGCCAAACGGGGACGGGGACACGGCCCAGACUCCUACGGAGGCAGCAGGGGGGAAUAUUGCACAAGGGGGGAAAGCCUGAUGCAGCCAGGCCGCGUGUAUGAAGAAGGCCCUAGGGUUGUAAAGUACUUUCAGUCGGGAGGCGUUACCGACAGAAGAAGCACCGGCUAACUCCGUGCCAGCAGCCGCGGUAAUAC